UGCGCAGGUGGCCUCGCAAGUCGAGUGUGAAAUCCCCGAGCUUAACUUGGGAAUUGCGCUCGAAACUACGGGGCUUGAGUGUGGCAGAGGGAGGUGGAAUUCCACGUGUAGCGGUGAAAUGCGUAGAGAUGUGGAGGAACACCAAUGGCGAAGGCAGCCUCCUGGGCCAACACUGACACUCAUGCACGAAAGCGUGGGGAGCAAACAGGAUUAGAUACCCUGGUAGUCCACGCCCUAAACGAUGAUGACUAGUUGUUGGGGGAGUUAAAUCCCUUAGUAACGCAGCUAACGCGCGAAGUCAUCCGCCUGGGGAGUACGGUCGCAAGAUUAAA
Molecule: ribosomal RNA, 332 nt
Filed under: uncultured Pseudomonadota bacterium
Lineage: Bacteria; Pseudomonadati; Pseudomonadota
Description: bacterial SSU rRNA
Rfam family: Bacterial small subunit ribosomal RNA
Source: RNAcentral